This 315-nucleotide unclassified non-coding RNA is filed under the name uncultured Ascomycota. RNAcentral's name for it is "sequence contains ITS1". The stretch from base 1 to 105 matches the Rfam family "5.8S ribosomal RNA", at positions 50 to 154 of the family's 154-position model. The record is from RNAcentral. Lineage: Eukaryota; Fungi; Ascomycota.
GAAAUGCGAUAAGUAAUGUGAAUUGCAGAAUUCAGUGAAUCAUCGAAUCUUUGAACGCACAUUGCGCCCACUAGUAUUCUAGUGGGCAUGCCUGUUCGAGCGUCAUUUCGACCCUCAAGCCUCGGUCGCUUGGUGUUGGGAAUUUAUCUUGCGUAGCGGGUAAUUCCUCAAAGCUAUCGGCGGUGGCCAGUGGUACCCCUAAGCGCAGUAAACAUCUUCUCGCUUUUGUUCUGGAACCCUGGGCUCUAGCCGUUAAACCCCCCUAUUUUUCUAGCGGUUGACCUCGGAUCAGGUAGGAAUACCCGCUGAACUUAA